RNAcentral lists this unclassified non-coding RNA (475 nucleotides) under Hevea brasiliensis (rubber tree). Lineage: Eukaryota; Viridiplantae; Streptophyta; Magnoliopsida; Malpighiales; Euphorbiaceae. The record is from RNAcentral.
CCCCACGUAGGCCCAACCUAGAUACAUCCUCACAACAGCAAGACUCACCACAAGUAUCCCACUGGAUAAAGCUGCAAGAAUUGGCUUCAACGGUUCCAAUUCUGGUCUCACCGAACCAAACCAAGCGACGGGCAACCCGACAAAGAAAACAAAAGCAGCGCCAACAACGAACAAUCGAGAGCUGUACUCAAUAAAGUCAUCGGCAGCCCAGGAAAAGGGGAAGGAAGUGGAAAGAUUCUGGUACUCAUUUAUGGGCUGUUGGUCAAGUGGAACAGGGCACUCUGUUUCAGAUGGAGUGUUGCUUCCAUUUCUAAAUGAUGAAAAGGGUAUGUUAGGAAUUAUGUUUUUAUGGUGGUGUAAUCUAGGUUUGGCAAAUGGGAUGAGGAAUUUGGGGGUGGGGGUGGGAAUGGGAGUGGGAGUGGGAGAGGAGAAGUGGACUGGAGGUGGUUUUGCUGUUAAGUGAAGGUCCAGAAUU